GCUAAUCUGCGAUAAGCGUCGGUAAGGUGAUAUGAACCGUUAUAACCGGCGAUUUCCGAAUGGGGAAACCCAGUGUGUUUCGACACACUAUCAUUAACUGAAUCCAUAGGUUAAUGAGGCGAACCGGGGGAACUGAAACAUCUAAGUACCCCGAGGAAAAGAAAUCAACCGAGAUUCCCCCAGUAGCGGCGAGCGAACGGGGAGCAGCCCAGAGUCUGAAUCAGCUUGUGUGUUAGUGGAACGGUCUGGAAAGUCCGACGGUACAGGGUGAUAGUCCCGUACACCAAAAUGCACAGGCUGUGAACUCGAAGAGUAGGGCGGGACACGUGGUAUCCUGUCUGAAUAUGGGGGGACCAUCCUCCAAGGCUAAAUACUCCUGACUGACCGAUAGUGAACCAGUACCGUGAGGGAAAGGCGAAAAGAACCCCGGCGAGGGGAGUGAAAAAGAACCUGAAACCGUGUACGUACAAGCAGUGGGAGCACGCUUAGGCGUGUGACUGCGUACCUUUUGUAUAAUGGGUCAGCGACUUAUAUUCUGUAGCAAGGUUAACCGAAUAGGGGAGCCGAAGGGAAACCGAGUCUUAACUGGGCGUUAAGUUGCAGGGUAUAGACCCGAAACCCGGUGAUCUAGCCAUGGGCAGGUUGAAGGUUGGGUAACACUAACUGGAGGACCGAACCGACUAAUGUUGAAAAAUUAGCGGAUGACUUGUGGCUGGGGGUGAAAGGCCAAUCAAACCGGGAGAUAGCUGGUUCUCCCCGAAAGCUAUUUAGGUAGCGCCUCGUGAAUUCAUCUCCGGGGGUAGAGCACUGUUUCGGCAAGGGGGUCAUCCCGACUUACCAACCCGAUGCAAACUGCGAAUACCGGAGAAUGUUAUCACGGGAGACACACGGCGGGUGCUAACGUCCGUCGUGAAGAGGGAAACAACCCAGACCGCCAGCUAAGGUCCCAAAGUCAUGGUUAAGUGGGAAACGAUGUGGGAAGGCACAGACAGCCAGGAUGUUGGCUUAGAAGCAGCCAUCAUUUAAAGAAAGCGUAAUAGCUCACUGGUCGAGUCGGCCUGCGCGGAAGAUGUAACGGGGCUAAACCAUGCACCGAAGCUGCGGCAGCGACGCUUAUGCGUUGUUGGGUAGGGGAGCGUUCUGUAAGCCUGUGAAGGUGUGCUGUGAGGCAUGCUGGAGGUAUCAGAAGUGCGAAUGCUGACAUAAGUAACGAUAAAGCGGGUGAAAAGCCCGCUCGCCGGAAGACCAAGGGUUCCUGUCCAACGUUAAUCGGGGCAGGGUGAGUCGACCCCUAAGGCGAGGCCGAAAGGCGUAGUCGAUGGGAAACAGGUUAAUAUUCCUGUACUUGGUGUUACUGCGAAGGGGGGACGGAGAAGGCUAUGUUGGCCGGGCGACGGUUGUCCCGGUUUAAGCGUGUAGGCUGGUUUUCCAGGCAAAUCCGGAAAAUCAAGGCUGAGGCGUGAUGACGAGGCACUACGGUGCUGAAGCAACAAAUGCCCUGCUUCCAGGAAAAGCCUCUAAGCAUCAGGUAACAUCAAAUCGUACCCCAAACCGACACAGGUGGUCAGGUAGAGAAUACCAAGGCGCUUGAGAGAACUCGGGUGAAGGAACUAGGCAAAAUGGUGCCGUAACUUCGGGAGAAGGCACGCUGAUAUGUAGGUGAAGCGACUUGCUCGUGGAGCUGAAAUCAGUCGAAGAUACCAGCUGGCUGCAACUGUUUAUUAAAAACACAGCACUGUGCAAACACGAAAGUGGACGUAUACGGUGUGACGCCUGCCCGGUGCCGGAAGGUUAAUUGAUGGGGUCAGCGCAAGCGAAGCUCUUGAUCGAAGCCCCGGUAAACGGCGGCCGUAACUAUAACGGUCCUAAGGUAGCGAAAUUCCUUGUCGGGUAAGUUCCGACCUGCACGAAUGGCGUAAUGAUGGCCAGGCUGUCUCCACCCGAGACUCAGUGAAAUUGAACUCGCUGUGAAGAUGCAGUGUACCCGCGGCAAGACGGAAAGACCCCGUGAACCUUUACUAUAGCUUGACACUGAACAUUGAGCCUUGAUGUGUAGGAUAGGUGGGAGGCUUUGAAGUGUGGACGCCAGUCUGCAUGGAGCCGACCUUGAAAUACCACCCUUUAAUGUUUGAUGUUCUAACGUUGACCCGUAAUCCGGGUUGCGGACAGUGUCUGGUGGGUAGUUUGACUGGGGCGGUCUCCUCCUAAAGAGUAACGGAGGAGCACGAAGGUUGGCUAAUCCUGGUCGGACAUCAGGAGGUUAGUGCAAUGGCAUAAGCCAGCUUGACUGCGAGCGUGACGGCGCGAGCAGGUGCGAAAGCAGGUCAUAGUGAUCCGGUGGUUCUGAAUGGAAGGGCCAUCGCUCAACGGAUAAAAGGUACUCCGGGGAUAACAGGCUGAUACCGCCCAAGAGUUCAUAUCGACGGCGGUGUUUGGCACCUCGAUGUCGGCUCAUCACAUCCUGGGGCUGAAGUAGGUCCCAAGGGUAUGGCUGUUCGCCAUUUAAAGUGGUACGCGAGCUGGGUUUAGAACGUCGUGAGACAGUUCGGUCCCUAUCUGCCGUGGGCGCUGGAGAACUGAGGGGGGCUGCUCCUAGUACGAGAGGACCGGAGUGGACGCAUCACUGGUGUUCGGGUUGUCAUGCCAAUGGCACUGCCCGGUAGCUAAAUGCGGAAGAGAUAAGUGCUGAAAGCAUCUAAGCACGAAACUUGCCCCGAGAUGAGUUCUCCCUGACCCUUUAAGGGUCCUGAAGGAACGUUGAAGACGACGACGUUGAUAGGCCGGGUGUGUAAGCGCAGCGAUGCGUUGAGCUAACCGGUACUAAUGAACCGUGAGGCUUAACC
Molecule: ribosomal RNA, 2843 nt
Filed under: human gut metagenome
Description: bacterial LSU rRNA
Rfam family: Bacterial large subunit ribosomal RNA
Source: RNAcentral